CCUACGGGUGGCAGCAGUGAGGAAUAUUGGUCAAUGGACGCAAGUCUGAACCAGCCAUGCCGCGUGCAGGAAGCCGGCUCUAUGAGUUGUAAACUGCUUUUGUACGAGGUUAACCGCAGAUACGCGUAUCUGUCUGAAAGUCUCGUACGAAUAAGGAUCGGCUAACUCCGUGCCCGCAGCCGCGGUAAUACGGAGGAUUCAAGCGUUAUCCGGAUUUAUUGGGUUUAAAGGGUGCGUAGGCGGUCGGAUAAGUUAGAGGUGAAAUCCCGAGGCUCAACUUCGGAAUUGCCUCUGAUACUGUUCGGCGAGAGAGUAGUUGCGGUAGGCGGAAUGUAUGGUGUAGCGGGGAAAUGCUUAGAGAUCAUACAGAACACCGAUUGCGAAGGCAGCUUACCAAGCUACUUCUGACGUUGAGGCACGAAAGCGUGGGGAGCAAACAGGAUUAGAUACCCCUGUAGUC
RNAcentral lists this ribosomal RNA (460 nucleotides) under uncultured bacterium. RNAcentral describes it as "partial 16S ribosomal RNA". It matches the Rfam family "Bacterial small subunit ribosomal RNA", at positions 338 to 795 of the family's 1533-position model. The record is from RNAcentral.